This 339-nucleotide ribosomal RNA is filed under the name uncultured Pseudomonadota bacterium. Its description in RNAcentral is "bacterial SSU rRNA". It matches the Rfam family "Bacterial small subunit ribosomal RNA", at positions 29 to 351 of the family's 1533-position model. The record is from RNAcentral. Lineage: Bacteria; Pseudomonadati; Pseudomonadota.
AACGAACGCUGGCGGCGUGCCUAACACAUGCAAGUCGAACGGGAAUGGUCCCUUCGGGGGCUUAGUAUAGUGGCGCACGGGUGAGUAAUACGUAGGUGACCUGCCCUUUGCUGGGGAAUAACCCCGGGAAACCGAGGCUAAUUCCGCAUAAGCUCCUCAGAUCGCGGUCUGAGGAGGAAAGGUGGCCUCUUCACGAAAGCUAUCGGCAAAGGUUGGGCCUGCGUCCCAUCAGCUAGUUGGUGAGGUAAUGGCUCACCAAGGCUGCAACGGGUAGCUGGUCUGAGAGGAUGAUCAGCCACACUGGAACUGAGACACGGUCCAGACUCCUACGGGAGGCAG